UUACGGCCACAUCACGUCGAAACACCGGUUCCCGUACGAUCACCGAAGUUAAGCAACGUCGAUCCUGGUCAGUACCUAGAUGAGUGACCGCUUGAGAAUACAAUGUGCUGUAAG
Molecule: ribosomal RNA, 114 nt
Filed under: Acanthosepion pharaonis
Lineage: Eukaryota; Metazoa; Mollusca; Cephalopoda; Sepiida; Sepiidae
Source: RNAcentral